CCUACGGGUGGCAGCAGUGGGGAAUAUUGCACAAUGGGGGAAACCCUGAUGCAGCGACGCCGCGUGAGCGAUGAAGUACUUCGGUAUGUAAAGCUCUAUCAGCAGGGAAGAAAAUGACGGUACCUGACUAAGAAGCCCCUGCUAACUACGUGCCAGCAGCCGCGGUAAUACGUAGGGGGCAAGCGUUAUCCGGAUUUACUGGGUGUAAAGGGAACGUAGACGGCUGAGCAAGCCAGAUGUGAAAGCCCGGGGCUCAACCCCGGAACUGCAUUUGGGACUGUGUGGCUGGAGUGUCGGAGAGGCAGGCGGAAUUCCUGGUGUAGCGGUGAAAUGCGUAGAUAUUAGGAGGAACACCAGUGGCGAAGGCGGCCUGCUGGACGAUGACUGACGUUGAGGCUCGAAAGCGUGGGGAGCAAACAGGAUUAGAUACCCCUGUAGUC
This 440-nucleotide ribosomal RNA is filed under the name uncultured bacterium. RNAcentral's name for it is "partial 16S ribosomal RNA". It matches the Rfam family "Bacterial small subunit ribosomal RNA", at positions 338 to 795 of the family's 1533-position model. The record is from RNAcentral.